GGGCCCUUAGCUCAGCUGGUUAGAGCAGCGGACUCAUAAUCCGACGCGCGUGGGUUCAAGUCCCACAGGGCCCA
RNAcentral lists this transfer RNA (74 nucleotides) under Gemmatimonadaceae bacterium. RNAcentral describes it as "tRNA-Ile". It matches the Rfam family "tRNA". Rfam says of the family: Transfer RNA (tRNA) molecules are approximately 80 nucleotides in length. Lineage: Bacteria; Pseudomonadati; Gemmatimonadota; Gemmatimonadia; Gemmatimonadales; Gemmatimonadaceae. RNAcentral also lists the same sequence under 1 other name. The record is from RNAcentral.